This is a long non-coding RNA of Myiozetetes cayanensis, 5442 nucleotides long. RefSeq lists it as uncharacterized. The record is from RefSeq and is a predicted model, not a curated record. NCBI's taxonomy places the organism in Eukaryota, Metazoa, Chordata, Aves, Passeriformes, Tyrannidae. The transcript is spliced from 11 exons.
GCUCCCGUCGCUGUCUGUAUUUCCUCCUCACAUGUCAUCCAUCACUCCGGUCCCACUGCACCUCCUCCAUGGUUUCUGAUGCAAAGGUGCAACUGCUGGACUUGAUGUUGGCCCACCGGAGACUGUUGAUGUGAGCAUCUCUCAGUUUGAAAAGCUGCUCUCCCGUGCCUGCCUGGCACACGGGGAGCCCUCUCCAGCAUAUGCCAUCCCAGCCUCAGGUGCUGGCACAGCCUGAAUCCUCAUCUCCACUUCGUGGGCUCCUCGUUAAUCUCUGAGGUCGGAGAAAAAGUUUCUGAGGUUUAUUAAAAAAACCCUCUGAAUUAAUUCUGCCUUUGUGUGGUCAGCCUGUGAGCCUGGAGCACACCUGAACCAAGGAGCAAAUUAAGGUCAGGUGCAGUUUGCCUGAGAAAUCAUAACUACCAUACGUGGGUGCAGCAAAGUGGAAGCUCUCAAAGCCCAAGCUCGUUGUCCAGAGAAUACAGCUGUAAAGCAGGCAGUCGAUGAGAACAGAAGAAGGAGCAGACGAUGGCACCAAACACUGCCCUGGAGCUGUGCCUGGUGCAAACAGCAUCCCGUGUGGAGAAGCAGAUCGUGCUCCUGCAAAGUUGAGAUCCCAAGUGGAGGAUUCCUGGUGACAGCCAGCACUGCUGCCGGGAUCUGGGAGCCGCCUGCGGGUGCCGAGCUGGAGCAGAGCGAGCAGAGUCAGGAGUGCUCCUAUUGACAGAUCAGCAUGCUGGAUUUUAUGGAGGAUUUCUACAGCUGAGGGAUAACUGUGAAUUUCCAGGUUCUCCUCUGAUGGUGUCCAUCUCACAGAGCUCUCUCAGGAAGCAGCAAGUGGAGCUGGGCUGUGUGAGCACCUGCCAGGACCUACACUUGUGCAGGUGGUAAAACAUUGGCUGCCAUGAACUUCAUGAUCAAAAAAAAAAAAAAAAGAAAGAAGGAAAAGCUGUGGUUUGGAAGCUGCUGGAUAGCAAACUGCAGGCUGGGAAUGUGGCUGCUGAAACCACUACAGGGAUAACGGGGCAUACACACGUUUGUGGAUAAUUCUGUUUGCUAAUUGCUCCUGAAAUUUCAGGUUGAAAGAGAAGAAGGGAAUCUUCCAGGUGGCUGUGUCUUGAAAAGCAGGUGCUGCUGUGGUUGCUUCCUACCCGACCGUGCUGCACUGCUCCAAGCGACUGGCCAGGACUUAACUCCAGUUUUCCUGGCCUAUUUUGCAGCAGUCUUUUAUGUACAAGAACAACUCUGGAACAAACAAACAAAAAAUAAAAAGAGCAGCCUGGUCUAACCCAGAACAGUGGAUGGACAUUGAAACCAAGCUGAGGAUGCCUCAACCUUCUAAAAUCUUUUUCUCUGAAGAAAAAAAUUCCUCUUGAGUCUUCCUCAGUCUGAAGUAUGUUUCUGCUGGUCAGGAGUGAAAUAUUCUUAUGAGCUUUUUUUUUUUUCCUUCUGGGCAUCAGAUAAGACAGUCUUUGUCCCAGGUUUUACUGGAGCUCCCAGAGUCUCCUUUGGGAAUGGUUCUGUGUGUUCAGGAGGUGGUUGGUGACUGCAGUAAAACCUGUAUGAACCUGAGAUGGUUGUUCCUUUGUGCAUCAAUGUCUCACUGACACCAAGGUGGCAUAUUCAGCUUUUAAAGGCAUGUUUUUCCCUGGGAGCAGCACAAGGACACUGAAGGGUGUCUGACUUCCUCCUGUGUCCAGAGGGUGGUCAGUCAGGUGAGAGGGGCACCAUCAGACAACCCCUCUCCAUAAGCACUGUACACCUGAUGAAAAUAGGUGUUUGAGAACUGGCCUUCAGCUCUCUCACCACCUCUCAGUGCUUGCAGAAAAAAAAAAGAAGACAAAAAAAACCAAACCAAAGACAGUUUAUGUGCAGCUCAGGAAGCUCUCAGCAAUGAAUGUGUCUGUGAUUUAAUAACACAUCUACCCAGAAUGACACUUCUCCUAAUAUUUGCUGAGAGAAAGAAGGCAGAGCAGUGUGGGGCAGAACCAGCACACAAGGCAUUGCUAUUGCAAAAACAAACAGCUAAACUACCAUAUAUUUAUUUUUCAAUAUGCAUAGUUGUUGGAAUUGGAGAAUGAAAAUUAUUCCUUGACACUCUGAUGGAACCAUAGAAAGCCCUGUGCUUCCUCUCACUCCCAUGGUCCUGACAAGAAACAAUCCACAAAUUCUAAUAAGUAGAAAAUAGAAAUAAAUACUUUUAACUACUGGCAUCAGGUUGGAAUGGUUUUCUGAAUUGGGAAGUGCUGCUCGUACGUCUUCCUUAUUUCUGCACCCUGUAAUGGUGGCUCUCCAAAAGUCAGAGUCAAAGUGAGAUAGAUACUACAAGGAUCACAGACACUACACUGGGAAACCAAGUAUCAGUGGUGCAUCCAGAUUUAUGGUAGGUGAUGGCAGUAAAGUGAAAGCAAAACUGUUUGCACAGUCUGUAUUGUUGCCCAUUACUGUGUAUUUGCCCUUUUUUCUUGCUUAGCCACAGCUGCAAGAAUGGAAAAUUGUACCUUCUGUACAGUAUUAGGAGACACUUUCUGAUCGUAAGGUCAAUCAGACCAGUUUAGCUGCUUGAGGUAUUUAUGGCACAAUCACUCAGUGUCUUUAAGGAAAGGUUAGAUACAUUUAUGGGAAAGGUAUUUUGCAGAAGCCUUCCUGUUUCAUAGAGGUCUUGGACAAAAUGACCCAGGAGGCCCCUUCCAAGUCUAUCAAAUGUGGUUCCCUGAUUGAUGCUGUUUCCCCCCAAAGUCUUUCAAAACACAAAGCACUGUUAUAAAAUUUAAUAUGAUACACUAUAUAACUUUAACACAAUGCCAUUUUCUUAUAGGAAAUGGUUAGCUGGUAGCAAAGGAGCCUCGUGCAAAAGGAAGAACGGGAGGAAAAAAGAAAUUGCAGUGCAGUUUCUCUGCCAAGGGAUAUCGACUAUAACAUUUACACUCUGUCUUAGUAUGGACCCUCAGCUGUGCAGGGGGACAGCGAGGCAGGGAGGGAUAUCAGUAACCUGGACUGUGGUAUAUAUUUCUCCAGAAAAGCCCAACAAGGCCUGAGGUAAUUUUCUAUGCUGAGCAAUAAGCAUUACCUCAGUGCUGCAAAGCAAAUGGACACGCAGAUCUCCUUGUGAAUCACUGCUUGGUGCUGUAAUUUGCUGAAUGUUUACUAAAUUGACUGGUUUUUUUUUUCCUUUUCAAACCACUCACAUAUUUAAAAGUUAAAUUCAUGUUAAUGGAUUAAAAAAACAAAACAAAACAAAAAACAACAACAACAACAAAACCAAAAAACAAAACAAAACAAACAAAAAAACAACAACAAAAAAAACCAAACAAAAAAACCCAAACCAAACCAAAACAAAACAAAAAGAGAUUCUGUGGGUCAUUUGGUUGAGAUGUUCUGGUUGGCCUCCACUAAGUUUUAAUUUCAUGUCCUCACAGGUCAAAAAAAAAAACCAAAAAAACCCCAGGACUUUAUUGGAGUUUACUCUCAAAACCAUUUUAUAUAAACCUUUUUAUUUCCACUCCAGCUGAUUUAGUUAACAGACAGACUCCUCUUCCAAAAAACAGCUCCCUGCCCCGUCUUCUUGGGAUAGCCCUGACAGGAAAUAACAACAUCCAUACACAGACACUCUGAAGCCUUUUGAAGUCUCACAAAUGUGAGCUGUUCCCUUUUGCAGAGCAGGCUGGGAUUAACUUUUUUAUUAACCUUCUAACCUCAUCCAUGAGAAAGAAAAAUAGCCAAUCCCCCCCGCCCCCUUUUUGUUUUUAAUUUGGAAGCUUGCAUCCUUCUUUACCUAAACAUUCAUGUGCUCACCCUAUCAACAGGAGAAAAAAAGCCCAUGGAAAGCUCCCUUUCCAUGAGGAGCUCCCCAAAACCCCUCUAGGGCCCUUCCUGUUAUGUUGUACUCAAAGUUUGUGUUUUCAUGGGAAGAGACAUUUUCCCUUUACCAUAAAGCUUGGGUCUCUCUAUUUGAAUCAUAUUGGCAGGAGCAAAUCACAACCUUUUCAUUCUUUUCAACGUGUUGCAUCCAUGUAUUUUCCUGAUUCCCGUGUCAAAAAAAGUGACUUUUAGCAAAAUGAAAAAUCUGCCCUGGCUGUAAUCCUGACAGUGCUACCAUUGCUCAUCCUUAGCUCCAUCCCUGCAUUGCAGUGCAGAGGAGGCACUCACAUCAGAAUAGCUCUUCUCCCUUCAGACAAAACGGUAAAAAUUAGCCCCAGAGAGUGACAUGAGCAGAAAUUUCAAAGGCAGGAAAAUUUAUCUCCUGCUCUUUGUCUUACAGUAUGGUGCACUGUAGUGGUUGGAAGAUUUAGCUUCCAAGCAUCCCAUCUAUAUAAAUCCUACUGGACAAGAGCUCUCCGGCUUCGUUUUCAGGGCGGUUGAGCUCAGCAGCUGGAAUCUGCCAGGGAGUGAGGGUCGAGAUAAGGAAGGAGAAAAACUUGCCUGUAGCUUUCAGGUGUUGGUCAAGGGUCAAGAUUAGGAAACAGCCAAAGCCAAACAAACCUCUCAGCUCCAUCUCCUUGGUGUGGUGCAUGAGGUCACGGCUAUUUGGCACAAGGAUCAUGAUUUUGGGGCACCCCUGUCUCUCCUCUGCUGCAGCUCAGCCCAUUAACAGCCCUGAUGAUACAGUCCCUCUUGGGGUUUCCCCUUUUGAAAGGUUUAUAUUUGGUUUAAAUCAAUUGCAUCAAAAUUGAAAGCUCCACUUUAGCUUUUAGGAAGCCAAGACACUUAAAAAUCUCCAGUGGGAAGGACAAGUGAGGGAGGCAAAAUAUCUCUCCCUUGUAAAGGCAUUUAAAUGAAACCACUUUGAUGAGAAGUUUCCAGCUGCUUUGCUGGGAAAAAAGACACAUCCCAGUCCUAUCAUGCAGGGGUGCCCUUCACACCAACAGGCAGAGAAAAGAGGUGGUGGGAAGAGUGAGAGGCACCAAAAUAAUCCAUCUGCAUUUUUUGCCUUCUUUGAUCUUUGAAAAUGGGAAAACCCAUGCAGGAUCAGGAAUUUCCAACCUGGGCUGCAUGCACCAUUAAUUGUGCCAUGAAGCAGAGCUGGUUUGCUAUUGUUGCCUUCUGCACAAAAAGCUGUUACUGUGAGCUCUUUGGGGCUCAGGAACUCCCUUUCCCAGUUUUCAGUUAAUACUUCAAUGAUUAUACAUAAAUAAUAGUAACGGUAAUCAUAACAAUACCUGGCUUGCCAUUAUGUUGUACUCAGGGCUUUGUGAUGCCUCUCUCACGAUAAAAUCUGUGCAUUAAAUACUUUAAUUGAAACUCUUAUUAAAACAGAGGUAUUUUCACUUGUGCAGUUAUAUUCACAUAAUGAUCACAAAGCACUUUACAGAAUCAAAUAAAAGUGGCCAGCCUGAUUCUUCUAUAGAAGAUUUUGUGCAUUUCAGUAGCAUAUAACAAAGCUGCUCAACAUACAGUUAAUUGUCAAACAUACCAUAUUCUGGGCUUAGCAGCCUCCAAAAAGCU